UUUCCCUCAGGAUAGCUGGCACUCGCUUGAGCGAGUCUCAUCUGGUAAAGCGAAUGAUUAGAGGCCUUGGGGCCGAAACGACCUCAACCUAUUCUCAAACUUUAAAUGGGUGAGAUCUCUGGCUUGCUUGAACGUUGAAGCCACGAGAUGAAUUUUUAUUUCAUUUGGAUCAGAGUGCCAAGUGGGCCAAUUUUGGUAAGCAGAACUGGCGCUGUGGGA
This 219-nucleotide ribosomal RNA is filed under the name Foersterella reptans. RNAcentral describes it as "partial 28S ribosomal RNA". It matches the Rfam family "Eukaryotic large subunit ribosomal RNA", at positions 967 to 1163 of the family's 3401-position model. The record is from RNAcentral. Lineage: Eukaryota; Metazoa; Arthropoda; Insecta; Hymenoptera; Tetracampidae.